CUCACCUUAGCUCAGUUGGAAGAGCGAUGGACUGUAAAUCAAAUAGCAAUCCAUCGGUCCCUGGUUCGAUCCCGGGAGGUGAGA
This 84-nucleotide transfer RNA is filed under the name Neoconidiobolus thromboides FSU 785. RNAcentral's name for it is "tRNA-Tyr". It matches the Rfam family "tRNA". From Rfam's summary of the family: Transfer RNA (tRNA) molecules are approximately 80 nucleotides in length. Their secondary structure includes four short double-helical elements and three loops (D, anti-codon, and T loops). Lineage: Eukaryota; Fungi; Entomophthoromycota; Entomophthoromycetes; Entomophthorales; Neoconidiobolaceae. The record is from RNAcentral.